UUAGAAAUCAGUAAGAACCUCCUCAAAUUUCGCAGCCAUAAUUUUCCCGGAAAGUUUGCACUCCGACCAUGAACUCGAAGGUAGUAGUUGAUUCACCGGCUGUAUUGAACCCGAGGCAGUAGUUAAACUUCUUUAUCUCUGCCACAUUUCCCGGAAUUUGACAAUAAAGAACAACACUUUGAUCUCAUCGAAGAGCAUAAAUCCACAUUUUCGAAGACGGUUGUUGAGUCGCCUAGCAAUAUUGAAUUGUGCUUCCCCAUCUACGUCCUAAGUUGAGCAAGUUCCUCUGUUCAGCCAGAUAAACUAUAUUAUUUGCAAAUGGAGCAUGAUGGUGUGUUGGUAGAAUCAGAUGAAGAGAAUAUUACAAACUCUUUUAAUGUCGUGGAUCGUGAAACCUCAGGGGGGAGAUGGUGUGGUUGUGCCUGAGGUGGGUAUGAAGUUUAAGGAGUUAAAUGAUAUGGUUGACUUCUACAAAAAAAUAUGCCUAUGCUGUUGGAUUUCCAAUUAAGAAGAAAAAUUUGAAAAAGGGAGAUGAUGGAGAGUUGAGAUACAUGACCUUGACGUGUAGUCAUGAAGGUCGAAGAAUCGAUAAUUGUACCGGUUCCUUGAAGCCACAACCGACAGUAAAGAUGGGUGCAAAGCUAGGAUCUCUGCAUCGUCAAAUAUUCAUGGGUUAUGGAGAAUUAACAAGGUUUACCUCGACCACAAUCAUGAAACUAGUCCGUCAAAAUCGAGGUUAUAUUGAUGUUACAGAGAAUUGAGUUCAGAUGUCAAACACAAGCUUAAAGUCAAUGAUUUGGCAGGAAUUUCAUUGUAUAAAAGUUUCAAUUCUGCAGUUGUAGAAGCAGAUGGUUAUGAGAACAUGAGUUGCAUUGAGAAGGAUUGCCGAAAUUAUAUUGAACAGGUUAGGUGAUUACGACUUGGUGAAGGAGAUGUCACAGCCAUACAAACAUGCUUUUCAAAGAUGCAAGCAAAGUGCCUGAAAUUUUACUUUAGCAUAGAUUUGGACAAUGACUCCUGACUGAAAAAUGUAUUCUGGGUUGAUAAUUGUUGUAGGCAAGCCUAUAAGGAAUUCGACAAUGUUGUUACGUUUGAUACCACUUAACUGACAAAUAAGUAUGACAUGUCGUUCGUCCCAUUUGUUGGCGUCAAUCAUCACAGGCAAUCAACUUUGCUUGGUUGUGGUUUGGUGUCGAAUGAAAACACGGAUACUUUUGUGUGGUUGUUCAGGACAUGGCUACAGUGUAUAGAUUUUUUCCACACACGAGGCAUAGAUGGUGUUUAUCGCACAUUUUAAAGAAGUUGCCUGAAAAGUUUGGGUACCACAAUGACAAGUCUUCGAUAUUUAGGGCCAUACACGUAUUAGUUUAUAAUUUGCAACUUGUUGAAGAGUUUGAAGAGGGUUGAGCUUUGAUGAUUGAUCAGUUUAGCUUGUAAGAUAAUGAUUGGUUAUUUGGCCUGUAUGAGAACUGAAAUCGUUGGGUUCCUUGUUUUUUGAAGACUACGUUCUGGGCAGGUAUGUCAACAACACAAAAAAGUGAGAAUAUAAAUGUAUUCUUCGACGGAACCUGCAUUCGAAGACCUCAUUAAAGCAAUUUGUGAAACAAUAUGAACGAGCACUGUGGAAUAAGGUUGAGAAGGAGUUCUAGGCUGAUUUCAAGUCAUUUUCGCAAAUGGUACCGGGUGCAACACAGUAUGAAAUGGAGAUGCAAUUUCAGUCAGUUUAUACGAUAGCAAAAUUCAAGGAAGCUCAGGAUGAGUUCACGGGAAAGGUUUACUAUGAUAUCCCAUCCACUUUGGAGGGAGACUUGUCCGCAACAUAUGAGGUACGAGAGGAUGUUAUAUACGAUGGGCGACGAAAGAAAAAACAUUCGUCAUCUCAUUCAGGAAAAAGAAUUGUAACAUUGUUUGUAGCUGCCAUUUGUUCGAGUUCCGAGGAGUACUUUGUAGGCAUACGAUUGUAGUAUUGAUUAGUUGUGCUGUCACGUCACUUCAUGUACAUACUGCGGAGAUGGAGACGAGAUGUUAGCCGAGCACACAAUAGGGUUGCGGUAAACUAUGGCGGUUUAAUUAAUUCUCCCGAGCAGUUGAGAUACGACAAAAUAUGCCGCGAGUUUGCUCAGUUGGCAGACCUGGCUGCUGAUGAUGAAGGACAGUUACACUCGGUUGUGGAUUGAAUUAAACUUUAGUGUAAGGAAUUAUUGAUGCCAAAAAGAUCGUGCAAUGGAAGUAAUGUGAUUUUGCAGCAUACUAUCGAGAUAGCCGACCAGCAUACUGAUUCCCAGAAUAAUGUCAGCGUGAACAUACGAGAUCCAAAAUCGUCAUGUAGAAAGGGGGCACCCAAAAAACUUAGGAAAAAAGGUCAAUUGGAGUCGAGUUCAAAGAAAGCAAAGGGACGUUCGGCAGCAAGUAAACGAAAGAAUAUUACCACGCAACAUACUCAUAUGCAAGAGCACUCUCAGAUAGAUGCUCAGGAAGCUCAACAAUAGCAUUACUCAUUGCAGCCACCACUAUCUUAUCUACAAUAUUCGAUGCUGACAACGUUCCCCUUCUCACAAUAUUCCAUCACGACGGCGUUAUCGCUGGCCGGGAUAUUACCCUUGUCAAAUUAUAUCCCUCCGUCGUCGUCAAAUGUUGUAUAUAGCUCGCAAGGUCAACCAAUGCCACACUAUUAUCCACAUUUAUCAACCCAUGGAGGAUCAGGUGGAGAAUUAUAAUUGUAAUUAGAACUUUAUGAUGGCUUGCUAGUACCAUAUUUUGCUGCUCAAGUAUUAACAAGAAAGAGAAUCGAUACUAUGCUAUAAUGGGUGAAUCAUCGUGGUUGCCAAUCUAUGUCAUGAUACUGUAUAAAUCCUUUGUUCAGAUUGUUUUUUGAGACUUGUAUUUAUGUAAAAUGACACCAUAUUUUGGAGAGACUGAUGAAGUCAGUUUUAGGUUUGUAUUGGAGCAUUAUCAGAUUGAAAUGGUACAUUUUCAGAUUAUUUUUGGCACAGAAAAAUUCUAUGUAACCACUGGAUCAAAUAAUUAUACUUAUUCUGGUAGUU
This is a long non-coding RNA of Olea europaea var. sylvestris, 3044 nucleotides long. RefSeq lists it as uncharacterized. Lineage: Eukaryota; Viridiplantae; Streptophyta; Magnoliopsida; Lamiales; Oleaceae. The record is from RefSeq and is a predicted model, not a curated record. The transcript is spliced from 5 exons.